Molecule: RNA transcript, 4242 nt
Organism: Helianthus annuus (common sunflower)
Lineage: Eukaryota; Viridiplantae; Streptophyta; Magnoliopsida; Asterales; Asteraceae
Gene name: 3-hydroxyisobutyryl-CoA hydrolase 1-like
Exons: 11
Source: RefSeq, a predicted model, not a curated record
UGUCGGAUUGAAUUUUGGCUUCUAUCAUACUCUUCUCAACUCUCUCUCUCUCAUUCUCACAAAAUCUUCCAAACGAUUGCUCCCAAACCCUAAUCGACGAUUCCUCUACUGAGCAACCUUAAUCGGCGAUUCCUUUCCUCACCGUUUCAAUCGAUCCUGUGCGAUGAGGUAUAAUCAAUCUUGAAUAGUCAAUAGUGAUCAUCGACGGUAUUGAUUCCCAUAUCUUCUUCUUUUAUGAUUGAUUAUGUUUUAAUCGUUUGCUGUAUUAUGAUUUCUACACCGUCCGGUGUCUCUGUUUUGUGGGUUUCUUGGAACCUGCCAGAAAGAUUGUAUGGUGGGAUGGUUUAUAUCCAGGCUAUUGGACAGAAGACAUGUCUCUUCUUUGUUUGUUUGCCGACGACCAACCACCCACUACCAGAGAACCGCCGCCACUCAACCGUCUGGUUCGUUUACAUUCACUUUCGUCUAUCUGUAUUCAUGUGAAAAAAUCACAAAAUCUGCUAUUUUGGGGUUUCUUGAUCUUGCAAACUAGAAAUUGGGUUUCUUGGGAUUUUCUUUUUUUUUGUAAGUGAAAUCUUUGGGUUUGUUUUGCAUUGGCACUAGAUUUUCAAUUUGGAGGUAAUUUUUUACCGCCAUUAUUGAAAAUUCUAGGGUUCAUGACACAAAGACUAGAGACUAUAUACAUAUAAAAUGAUCUUCAGUUAAAUUAUAUAUACUGGGUUCGUGACACAGAGACUAGAGACUGUUUAGAUAUAAAAAGAUGUUCAGUAAUGUUUUAUAUACUAUGCUACUCAAUUAAUAGAGCAAUGGAAAUGAACAGUGGUUUUGGUCUUGGUUUGUUCCGAUUGAACUAUUUGGGCGGUCAUCCCCCUUGAGACGCCUGUCUUUGGCUUUAAAUCUUACCCCUUUUUUACAAAGAGAGGGGUAGUAACCAGAGGGUCACCACUAGCGGAUUCCGGCAGUCUUGGCGGCGAUGAGUUUAAACAUAAAAUCUUUGUCGAUGUUUUAGGCGACGACAACUGGGAUUCUUGUGAGGUUUCGGCCUUUUGCCUACCCGAAGAUGAUGGUGGCUUGCUACUUGGUAUGACAACUUCGGUUGCAACCAUAGCGCCACUGAGCGGGUUAAACGAUGAUGAUAAUCUUUUCGGAUCUGAUCUGUGAUGAAUUCAUAUAAUGACUGUAAAUCGGAUGUUGAUGUUGCCUUGGCGUGGGCGCGUGACAGGUAUGGAUUUUGUUUUAUGUGGGUUUUUGUUGCUAGCUGUACUUUGAGAACAUGAGGAACAUGAACAUUGUACCAGAGAAAUAAAUAGGCCGUGAUGAUGUAAAAAAUUCGACUAUCUUUGUUGUUUUGGCUUGGCAAUUUGAUGAUUUGCAGCCACAAUGAGGUAGUGUAUUUAAGCCUACGAAACACAUCUAACCAAAUCAGUUGUGUUAAUAUUUGAAUUUUACUAUUGAUGAUGUUGCUUUCAGUGCUAUUCUUUGAUAGAUUGAUUUGGGUUUGUUUGUUUCUAUCAAUUUUGUUGCUUUAUGUUAUAGGGACUUUUGGGGUUUUUAUGGGUUAUAUUGAAAUAAACAAUUUAACAUGUUUUAGUUAGCGUCUAUAGUUGUCGACUUUUUGGUGCAAAUUGUAACAGAGAGAAAAUUAAAUGGGCGGUGAUGAUAUAAGAAAAUCCUCUAUUUUCGUAGUUUUGGCGUGGCAAUCUGAUGAUCUGCAGCCACAAUGAGAAGACAGAAUGGGAGACUUGAAGGUGAUCUUGAACAACCGCAGCCUCAGACACUUGAAUCGGUGUUACAGCGAGAGUUCGGAAAGAGGAGUAGAGAAUAUGUGUGAGAGACAUCGAUUCAAGAUUGAUUUCUUCGAUUUUCCUACUACAGAUUCAAACACAAUGGAGACGAUUAGGAGAGCAUUGCACGCAGUUUCAUGAGAGAUGUGGGAUACAUCAAGGAAAGGUCUAUUGAGCUUGGUCCGCAAGACUGCACGUCAUCUUUUACUUAAGGUAUUGAACUUAUCCUUCUCGGUGAAGAUGUACAUCAACAUGAAUUCCCCAAAAAGAUUAAGAUGAAGUUUCAUUCUCUACAACAAUCGGACUGGAGAUUCAGUGCGCUGAAGAUGAAGAAUUUUGGAAUAUGGUAUCAAAGGAUUUCCAACUAUUAAAGUAUUUGUUUCUGGAAAACCUCCUGUUGAUUACCAAGGAGCUAGGGAAGCAAAACCAAUAGCAGAAUUUGCACUUUCACAGGUCAAGGCACUCCUCAAGGACAAGUUAAGUGGAAAAACAACAGGAGGAUCAAGUGAGAAAUCAGAACCAAGUUUAUCAGUCGAACUGAAUUCGCGUAAUUUUGACGAAUUGGUUGUUAAAAGCAAAAAUCUCUGGAUGGUGGAAUUCUUCGUACCCUGGUAUUCAUUCUAUGCUUGAGUUGUUUCUUUAGCAAUGUGUUUUCCAAAUGCCCUUAUUUCUUGUUGUAAUACAUUGAAUAUUCUCCAAACCUUGUGAUCGCGCCCCACUGGGAUUUGAAUAAUUUUGUUUUUUUUUUCAAUGUACGUCUUUUUACAUAGUACUAAAUUUGAAUCAAAAUAAAUAAUAUGGUUUUGGUUGAAGCCCGCGUAUUACGCGGGCAUUAACCUAGUUACUCUAUAUAUAAAUAUAAAUUGUUUGCCCGCUCUCUCUGCCCACUAUAAAUUAAAACUCAUAUUCCUUGUGACUUGUGUGGUGGAAAAUAUAAUAAUCUAUUAUAUAUAAUAAAUGUGUUAAAUUUUGCUGAUGUGUCAAGUUAUCAGGCCACUAAAUUUUUCUUUUUGGCGGGAAAAUCUCGUCCACUUUUCUUUGACACGGGAUCUGAAAUAAUUCGGGUCAGAAUAUGGGUCAAGCAUGACUAAUAAUGGAUCCUUUAUAUUUCUUUUCAAUGCCGCUCCACCACAAUUAGGGUUUCUUCUUCUUUGUCUUCGAUCUCUCUGCUACUCCUCCAUGUAAAGGUAUGAUUUAGACAAUUAAUCAACCAUCAUUCUCGGUUAAUUCAAGGUUUUCUUACUAUUAUUUUCUUUGGUUUGUAUAUCUCAUACUUUUCAGUGGAUCCGUGUUGUCAUCUAAAUUAUGUGUUGAGUUUUCUUUCAAUCAGCAUUCAUAUGCUAAAUUCAUUUGUAAUCGAUUAAGCAAAGUUUCUGUCUGAUAAAGAUUCGUGAAUCUGUGAAGCAAAAUUAUGUGAAUCGAUGAAUUGAAAUUGCAACAAAUCUUCGAGCUCAUAUUUUGGAUAUAGAUUGUUGAUAGCCAUUGUUAUAGGUUUAGGUUCAAUAAAAAGGUCAGUUCAUAGUUUUUUAUGUUCUUACGAGCACCAAAGUUUUUUCACCUAUUUAUCUUUUUAACAAUCUGUUUUUGAUUGUUUGUGUAUAUAUGAUCUGAACUGGUGUGCACGAUGAUUAAUCUGCAAAACCCACUUAUUUUGCUGGAAAAAGGUGGCUUCAUAUGAAUAUUAGUGUUUUUGAUUAUUCAAAACCUUAAAUUUGUCACCAAGCGCUUGCAACAUCUAUUUAGGUUGCACACAAGUUGCUCGAUAAAAUGCUUGAAUGAAGUUUUAUUCUCACAUUGGUUACAUUCAAGUGUUUGCCACCAUAAGGGUCGCAACGGAUCAGGCAUGUGGAAAUUCAACAGAAGGUGACACAUCAGUUUUAUCAGUUUAAAAAGAGAGACUGUGAUGUCUUUAUUAUGUUGAUAUUUAGGGGAAAACGGUUACUGAUUGAUUUCAAGGGUUUCCUUUUUCUAUGUUUUUUUUGUUCGUUAUAAUUGCUAUAUCUACUUUUUUGUCUACUAGAUGUGGAUUUUGAUAGUAGAUAAAAGUUAUGAAACGGCAUCAUUUGGAUUUUUUUGUUUUUACACUUAAUGAUGGUUAUUGCAUCUGUUUAUUAUGUUGGGUUUUUGUUUUAAAUUAGUUUGUUAUAAAAUAUUGAUGUGAAGAUCGAGCUUUGUUUUGUAGUGGAAGUAUGUUUCGGAUACUUCAAAGGAAUACAACCCAGGUUAGAUUAGAAAACGGCAUCUUUAAAUAAUCAUAUUAAUAUUGUAUCACUCAUUAGAGGGAUUGCUAUGGGAGGUGGUGCAGCCAUUGCAAUACAUGGUAGAUUUCGAGUUGUUACAGAUAAUACGGUAUGCCUCUUGCCAUCAGCCAUAUAUUUAUGUAUAUUGUUUCAUAAGGAUGGUGAAUCUUCUAAAAAGACAUUCUUUUUCAAGAUCAACAAAUUUGAUGGUAUCAUUU